GCAGACUUUUUUCAACCAUAAUUUCUUCAUCCGAACUCCAUUUAGAUUGAUCUUAGGCUCGUUGGACUCCGUUUAUCAUUACAAAUCUCACUGUGGAUUCAGUAUGGAUUGAAUCUCAAGACAUCAAAUCUUAAUAGUAUUUUCUUGCAUAAGCCUCUUAAGCUUUCUUGUACACCCAUCCCUUACUUUAUUUAUAUCAGGU
RNAcentral lists this long non-coding RNA (202 nucleotides) under Elaeis guineensis (African oil palm). Its description in RNAcentral is "long non-coding RNA (EGUI_LNC041687)". Lineage: Eukaryota; Viridiplantae; Streptophyta; Magnoliopsida; Arecales; Arecaceae. The record is from RNAcentral.